UACGACUACAUAUCAGGCAUAUCAAUAAGCGGAGGAAAAGAAACUAACUAGGAUUCCCUUAGUAACGGCGAGUGAAGCGGGAAGAGCUCAAAUUUGAAAUCUUCAAGGUUCUACCUUGACGAAUUGUAGUUUAAAGAAGUGUUUUCUGUCGGAGUUUUGGUAAAAGUUCUUUGGAAUAGGACAUCAUAGAGGGUGAGAAUCCCGUAUUUGACCAGUUAUUUCCAGCUGUGUGAUACACUUUCAAAGAGUCGGAUUGUUUGGGAAUGCAGUCCAAAAUGGGUGGUAAAUUUCAUCUAAAGCUAAAUAUUGGCGAGAGACCGAUAGCGAACAAGUACCGUGAGGGAAAGAUGAAAAGAACUUUGAAAAGAGAGUUAAACAGUACGUGAAAUUGUCAAAAGGGAAGCAGUUUGACACCAGUGUUGUUUUCUCGAAAAUCAAUUAAAAAUGACGGAUUUUGUGUUGUAUUGACUUUAUCAGCUUUCUGCACUUUUUUCUUGUCUUUUUUAAUGCACUUUUCGUUUAACAAGUCAACAUCAAUUUCUUUUGUUGUAAAAGAGUCAUUGGAAGGUGGCUUUCACUUCGGUGAAAGUGUUUAUAGCCUUUGACUUCUGCAGUCGGAGAGACUGAGGUCUGCAGCGUAGAUCCUUCGGGGUUAGAUAGCAUUUGUGCUAAGUUAUAGCUUUUCAUAGACAACAUGUUGACUAUGAUUAAGUCAUGUAGCUUACUCGCUUAUGCUAUUUUACCUACGCUUAGGAUGUUGACGCGCGUGUGUGCGUG
RNAcentral lists this ribosomal RNA (777 nucleotides) under uncultured Neocallimastigales. RNAcentral describes it as "partial large subunit ribosomal RNA". It matches the Rfam family "Eukaryotic large subunit ribosomal RNA", at positions 24 to 634 of the family's 3401-position model. Lineage: Eukaryota; Fungi; Neocallimastigomycota; Neocallimastigomycetes; Neocallimastigales. The record is from RNAcentral.